This 502-nucleotide ribosomal RNA is filed under the name uncultured organism. RNAcentral describes it as "SSU rRNA". It matches the Rfam family "Bacterial small subunit ribosomal RNA", at positions 10 to 509 of the family's 1533-position model. The record is from RNAcentral.
AGUUUGAUCCUGGCUCAGGAUGAACGCUGGCGGCGUGCCUAACACAUGCAAGUCGAGCGGGAAUCUCCCAAAGAAAGCUUCGGCAGACUGCGGGAGAGGAGAGCGGCGGACGGGUGAGUAACGCGUAGGUAACCUACCUUAUGCACAGGGAUAGCCCCGGGAAACUGGAAUUAAUACCUGAUGAAGCGAUUAGGUCACAUGGCCUUGAUCGCCAAAGAUUUAUCGGCAUAAGAUGGACCUGCGUCUGAUUAGCUGGUUGGUGAGGUAACGGCCCACCAAGGCGACGAUCAGUAGCCGACCUGAGAGGGUAAUCGGCCACAUUGGAACUGAGACACGGUCCAAACUCCUACGGGAGGCAGCAGUGGGGAAUAUUACACAAUGGGCGCAAGCCUGAUGUAGCAACGCCGCGUGAGCGAAGAAGGUCUUCGGAUCGUAAAGCUCUGUCCUUGGGGACGAAGGAAGUGACGGUACCCAAGGAGGAAGCCCCGGCUAACUACGUGCC